CCUACGGGGGGCAGCAGUGGGGAAUAUUGCACAAUGGGGGAAACCCUGAUGCAGCGACGCCGCGUGAGUGAAGAAGUAAUUCGUUAUGUAAAGCUCUAUCAGCAGGGAAGAAAAUGACGGUACCUGAGUAAGAAGCCCCGGCUAACUACGUGCCAGCAGCCGCGGUAAUACGUAGGGGGCAAGCGUUAUCCGGAUUUACUGGGUGGAAAGGGAGCGUAGACGGCAGUGCAAGUCUGGAGUGAAAGGCGGGGGCUCAACCCCCGGACUGCUUUGGAAACUGUACGGCUGGAGUGCAGGAGAGGUAAGUGGAAUUCCUAGUGUAGCGGUGAAAUGCGUAGAUAUUAGGAGGAACACCAGUGGCGAAGGCGGCUUACUGGACUGUAACUGACGUUGAGGCUCGAAAGCGUGGGGAGCAAACAGGAUUAGAUACCCCAGUAGUC
This 440-nucleotide ribosomal RNA is filed under the name uncultured bacterium. RNAcentral describes it as "partial 16S ribosomal RNA". It matches the Rfam family "Bacterial small subunit ribosomal RNA", at positions 338 to 795 of the family's 1533-position model. The record is from RNAcentral.